This 639-nucleotide ribosomal RNA is filed under the name Triticum aestivum (bread wheat). RNAcentral's name for it is "partial small subunit ribosomal RNA". The record is from RNAcentral. Lineage: Eukaryota; Viridiplantae; Streptophyta; Magnoliopsida; Poales; Poaceae.
AUGUAUGCUGCAGGCCAUGCCCCAGUACAAAACAGCACAACCAGAUACAGACAUCACGGCCGGGUUGAGACGAGACGGGGAAGUGACAGGAAUACGGAUCCUCACACGAAGCUUUUUACACUCCUUCAAAUGCAGCCCUGCGUCGUACUCCUCCUCACCCUAGCCAUCCUCCCGAGCCUCGUAGCCAGCACCACCUCAUCUCUCAUCAACACAACGUGCUCGAAGGCUCCUAAUGUGUCCUACGACCAUUGUGUCAACGUGCUCUCGGCCGAUCCAGCCGGUGCCUCCGCCACGGACAAGCGCAGGCUGCUCAUCGCCGCCGCUAAACAAACUGUGCACAGUGUGACAUCCACGGUGCAUAUCAUGAGCGACCUAAUACAAGAGCUCAACACUUGCAUCCAAUAUUACCAACGUAUGGGUGAGUUCACGGUGGGCGCCAUCGAUGAUCUCCGAGCAGGACGAGAUGCUGGACUCAUAUAUCCAAAGUUACGGGAGGCCUCUGAUGAGCCCCUAAGGUGUGAUACAGCGUUCUUUCACGGAGUCAAGAAGAAUCUCAUGGAGAAAGAGAACUCAGAGAACAAAAAUUUGGCCCACUUGGCCAGUAGCAUCACAUUUCUGUUGUUCAAUCGGCGUUGUUAG